Molecule: ribosomal RNA, 537 nt
Filed under: Triticum aestivum (bread wheat)
Lineage: Eukaryota; Viridiplantae; Streptophyta; Magnoliopsida; Poales; Poaceae
Description: partial small subunit ribosomal RNA
Source: RNAcentral
AUGAACGCGCUGGUCGACACGACGGGCGUGGACAUCCGGCUGCCGAUGCUGGUGUACGUUUCGCGCGAGAAGAGGCCCGGGUACAACCACAACAAGAAGGCCGGCGCCAUGAACGCGCUGGUCAGGACGAGUGCCAUCAUGUCGAACGGGCCCUUCAUCCUCAACCUGGACUGCGACCACUACGUGCACAACUCGGCGGCGCUCCGCGAAGGGAUGUGCUACAUGCUCGACUGCCGCGGCGACCGCGUCUGCUACGUGCAGUUCCCGCAGCGGUUCGAGGGCAUCGACCCCAACGACCGGUACGCCAACCACAACCUCGUCUUCUUCGAUGUCGCCAUGCGCGCCAUGGACGGGCUGCAGGGCCCCAUGUACGUCGGAGGCUGCAUCUUCCGCCGCAUCGCUCUGUAUGGGUUCAGCCCACCGCGCGCCACCAAGCACCACGGCUGGCUCGGCAGGAAGAUCAAGCUGUUCCUGAGGAAGCCCACCAUGGGGAAGAAGACGGACAGGGAGCUGGUCAUGGCGAUUUUGCAAAAAUAA